GCAUCUCCCUUACACUGAGAAGUUACUUGUGCAAAUCAGGUUAUUCU
This 47-nucleotide transfer RNA is filed under the name Minous quincarinatus (whitetail goblinfish). RNAcentral describes it as "partial tRNA-Val". Lineage: Eukaryota; Metazoa; Chordata; Actinopteri; Perciformes; Synanceiidae. The record is from RNAcentral.